AAGGAAUGACAUCUUUUUGUCUUUUUACAUCAAUCAUGCCCACAAGUUUGAGGAAGCAUGAUGCUGUCUCAUUGGUUUACUCCACUUUGUGAUUAUAAUCCCAGACCAGAACAAUCCAUCAUGCUCCACUUGUCUUGACGUCCUCAGGGGCUCACGGCUCUCAUGAGAGCAAAAGAGUACAAUUUUUACCCAAUAAAGGUCUGCUCGGCCAGGUUGGUGCCUCCUACAACAACAUAUGAAACACAAAAAACCCACAUGCAUGUUGCUGCCCUUCUAAUUCAAUUAAGGUUCAAUGUACUACAAUUGUUUAAGAGGCUGCGCAGUGGCACAUUCUGUUUGUUUUACAGCUGGUAAACCAUUUGACCAUAUUUAUACCAUAAUACCAUAUUGUUCUGAAUAUAAGUUGGCAUUUAAAAAGUUCUAAAUAUGGGGGUUUGUCUUGUAUUUGGGGUGGGGGGAGUAGAGUUUGUACAUGUUAUAUACAUCCCACAAUAGCUGUUGACAAUUACAUGUUAUAUAGGUGUGGCCCACAGACCUGAAGCAUCCUAACACUCUGGCUAGCUUAGGGUGCUCAAUAUCUGAGGAACAUAGUGAUUGUCCUGAAAAGAUGGUGCCUCAAAAACUGAUAAAGCAAAGGAGAAUAAAUUUUAAUAUAAAUUUUGUGCUCAUGGUGAUGAAUGCAGUAGAGUCAUCAAACAGCUCUCAAGCAGCCAUGAACAUUAAUUACAUCCAGCAUGGCAGAAUGCAAUUUUUGAAGAUAGCGCGCCCAAAAACACCAUCGUAAAAAAAAGAAACAACAUCCACAAAAGCUUACUGUGGUCCUAAAAGCAGAAGUGUGUCAGUAUGUUGAUGAAAGAAGGAACUCAGAAGCUGCCUAUAUAAUGUGCUUUUAUUUGAAUUAUUUUCAAAUAAAAGCAUUGUCUUUAUAUCUUUUAGAAGAUUUGGUCUUCAAAAGUAUUCUUUCCUACAAUAUGUCUAGAAAAAGUGGAGUUGGGGGUUGUCUUGCAAUCAGGAUCACCUUAUAUUCAGAACAACAGGGUCGUUGGUUUUCUUGUCAGCUGUUGGUGAAGGUAGUUUUCAGUGCUACAUUUUAAGUACAUAAAUCUUUCCUCUCAAACAGAAGUUUGCCCAGCAUUUUCCAACAAUGGUAAGGAUGCAUACUGGAGAAAUGCAAGAUAAAAACACA
Thalassophryne amazonica is the source of this 1186-nucleotide long non-coding RNA. RefSeq lists it as uncharacterized. The record is from RefSeq and is a predicted model, not a curated record. The transcript has 2 exons. Lineage: Eukaryota; Metazoa; Chordata; Actinopteri; Batrachoidiformes; Batrachoididae.